GUUAUUUAUGUGAUAUCAUUAUGAGGAAAACUUCCCAUAGUGUUCAGAACAUUGCUUUUUGUUUUGUUUUGCAGAAGGUUAUAUGAAAAGAUAUCUAAAAACAUCUUUGACCUAAUGAAUUACAUCUUGGUUCUUUCUUCUUAUGUUAUCAUACUUUCUGUAAUUCACCAAACAAGCCAGGAAUAUAUUUUAUUAAUUUAUUUGGAUUGUGUGUUACGAGAGAGAAGAGAUCAUCAGAAAAGGCUGCCUUUAUAGUGUUGUGAUGUAACAGAAACAAUGACUGAGUCAAUAGUUCAUUGCAACUGAGAGUUGGUUUCUGUGUAAAGUUCACAGACGUGUCUACUCCGCAACUGACAGUAUAAAAUAGUGGGUAAGAAUUCAGACUCUGGAUCUAGACUGCCUGGGUUCAAAUCCUGGCUCUGCCCUUGGGGGGCUACACGGCCUUGAGCAAGUGGCUUCACCUCUCUUUACCUCAGUUUUCUCAUCUGUAGAAUGGUCAUAUGAAUUGUAUCUAUUUCAUCAGGUUGUGAUGAGGAUUAAAUGAGUUAAAACAUGCAAGAUGUUUAAAACUAUGCUGGUAUGUAGAAGUGUUCAAUAAAUGUUAACUAUUAUUAUUAGUCAAGCAAUUCUGAAGUGCUUGGGAACUCAACCUGGAUGUUUCUUGGGAGGGAAUUAACGGCUGCAUUUUACUGUAUAUACUACUGGUUCCUAUAUUACAGAAAAUAUUUAAAGGCCAUUGGCUGAGGAAAAAGUUAGCUUGUGUGGUUGGAUCCUGCUUGUUGUAGCCGUCCCAGAUCUGGUCUUCCCCUUCCGUGACUCGCCUGGACCUCUUAAGUUUUUGCAGAUCUGGUUCCUCAUUUUUUUAAGUUGGAAUUUUAACCACAUACAUUGAUUAGCCAUUUGGCAACUGCAUCCUCUUUUCGUCUGCUUUGUCUUUCUGCCAAAAUUAUGAUUUCCCGAUUGUUCUGACUCUUGUAUUUAGCUCCCAAGAUGACUCUAACUCUUCUGCAUGCACAAACGUUCGAUGAUUCUUUUUUCUCCUUCCGCCUUGCCUCCACUUCCUCCAGCUCCUUGUUCCAGACUGAUAGCAGAAAGAGGCCUUAGAAAACAGUGGUUUAGAAGCUUAAUCUUGCCAGACCCCAAAACUUUUGUCUGUGAGAAAUUUAAACUACACAGGCAACAUUGAAAUUCAUUCUUCCUUUCUGGCUUCUCUGGUUUGGUAGUUCUUCCUUUCCAUAACGCAGUCAUGUCUUGAGUGUCUGGAAUGAGCUGGAGCCUGGCUAUGUACUGGAAAGGGAAGACAUGGCCUCUGCCCUCCACAAGUUCAUCAGCUAGCGAGGAAGUCAGAAAAAUAAAUGGCGAGAAUGCAAUGUGACACCCACCGUAACUGAAGAUGGAUCAAGUGCACAGAACUGCUCUCCCAUACCAACCCGUGAUUGACAGAGUCGUGAGAGCCUUCGAGGCUCCUGGGAUUGAAGUACCACAGUCGCCUAAGCUGUCGUUCCUCAUGAUUGAGAUUCUAGAUCACUAAUGCUUCCCCAGUGUCUGACCUAACGGCAACAUCUUCUAAGCUCUUCCUUUACCAUUCACCAAACAUAAAAAGCUCUUCCAUCUCCCCUCAAUGGGAGAGAGUUUCUUCCUUUGAAAUCCCAUAAUACUCUGCUUCAACAUCCCUGUGGUUCCUACCAAAGUUUACCUUGCACUAUGGCUACUUAAACACAUACGUGCCUUCUCUCCUUCCAGAUUAGAGAGUCCCUGAGGGCAUGGACUGCUCACUUCAGUGCCUUGCACAGAGCAUUACACAUAACUGACGCUUAAUACAUAUUUGAACAUAUGAUUCAACAAGGGAAACACCUUCUGAUAGAAGGUUCUGAACCUGAGGUAUCAGAGAUUGCCCUGAUCUGAAUCAUUUCCUGUUGGUUUUAGAUAACUAACGCAAUCCUCCACCUCCGGCCUUGGGGAGAAAAAAAAAAAACAACUCAAACCCUCUAACUUCUGGAAAGAUUUUAGAAGAUCCAAGGAGUUUUAAUCUACAUAUAAUAUGUUGAAAGACAAAUAUCAAAGAUUCUAAUUAUUCCAUGUUUAUAUUUUAGUAAAUGCUCUGGUCAUAACAAUCUGAUGUGUAAAUCUGAGAGCUAAGCUUUGUAGUUUAUUGAGAAAAAGACACACACAGAAGUGUGGCA
Molecule: long non-coding RNA, 2183 nt
Filed under: Equus caballus (horse)
Lineage: Eukaryota; Metazoa; Chordata; Mammalia; Perissodactyla; Equidae
Description: lncRNA (ENSECAG00000050224.1)
Source: RNAcentral